UACGGAGGGGGCUAGCGUUGUUCGGAAUUACUGGGCGUAAAGCGCGCGUAGGCGGCUUUGUAAGUUAGAGGUGAAAGCCCGGAGCUCAACUCCGGAACUGCCUUUAAGACUGCAUCGCUAGAAUUGUGGAGAGGUGAGUGGAAUUCCGAGUGUAGAGGUGAAAUUCGUAGAUAUUCGGAAGAACACCAGUGGCGAAGGCGACUCACUGGACACAUAUUGACGCUGAGGCACGAAAGCGUGGGGAGCAAACAGG
This 253-nucleotide ribosomal RNA is filed under the name uncultured bacterium. RNAcentral describes it as "partial 16S ribosomal RNA". It matches the Rfam family "Bacterial small subunit ribosomal RNA", at positions 524 to 776 of the family's 1533-position model. The record is from RNAcentral.